GGACACUUAUAUUUAAAGGUGCUUGUGCAAUACCCAGUGAGACUUCACUACACUUGCAAACACUUUGGGGAACUUGAAGACCAGAGGGCCAAGAUGUAGCUUUGCAUUUUGUUGCAGAAGGGUAGGACUCAUAUCUUAUAAAUAUUACUGGCAAAAAGGUUUUAAGUUUUUUAAACAGGAGCUGUGAUAUGGGAAAUCUGUUCCAUAAAAUUUGCCUUCUCAGUAAUCAUGCUGUCUGCCCAAUGUGGGUGCCCUUGACUUUGGCUGACUCUGGCUUGUCUUUAAGAUGUGCCUCCACCUAUGCUCAGCCUGUACCUUUGUAAAUAAAUUCAGCUGUUUAAAAAAAGAUGCAUAUGCCUCUGGUGACCUCCUUUCAAAGAAAAAUGGAAGCCAGGUAACGGCUGUGCCCCAGAAUUUCUUGCUUAUACUCUCACGCUCACCCCAUGUCUCUGAUAUUAUUUCCAGAUGCUGUAUCCUAUGGCUCUCACAUCCACAUUAGAUGUGCUGCUUUUAGAUCCGAAGGAGAUCCUGCUGUUCUCCCUCCUGCUUUCUUCACCUGCCUUCCCACGCCCAAGCAGAAGCUCAUCUCUAACCUGAAAUGACCUUGUUAGGGUGGGUAGAUUCAGGGGUGGACUUUGGUAAUAUGGCACCCUGAGGACAAAAUUUGGCACACCCCUUCCAAAUAUUUCUUAUUUUCACAAUAAUUCCUUUUGGUACGUUUACCUGUAUAUUUACCCAUAUAAAUACAGUUUGUUUGUUUGUUUGUUUGUUGUUACUACUACUACUACUACUAUUACUAUCACUAUUUUGCACCCCCUCAACUUGGCUCCCUAUGCAGGGGAACUGCCCUAAAUCCAGCACUGGGUGGGUAUCUUAAAACUGGAACAAAUUAAUCAUGUACUUUCUUUGCGCUACUUCAGUAUCAGACUGGCAUGUCUCUGAAUACUAGUCUCUGAGGAUUACAAGCAGGUGAGAACUAUUGGACUCAUUUAACUACUGCCUUCCAGAUAUGCCUCAGGGUGAUGUACAAAAUGCAACACAAAUCUAUGGAAACAGUUAAAAAACAACACAGAAAGUAACCACAAAUAUGUUUAAAAACAAUACCAAAUGCACCCAUGGUGGAGAUCUGAAUGGGAAGCAUCCAGAUUGGGGGAGCGUGUCACAUCCAGUUGAUGGGUUUCCCAUAGGUAUCUGGUGAGCCCACCUUGAGAGCACAAAUCUGGACUCGAUGGGCCUUUCCAGCAACACUCACCUAAGAUGCAUUGUAAAAUUUUAUGUCUUGGCAGGAAUUGCUGCAACUCCCGUCUGCAAAUUACCGUCCAGAAUGCCCAGGAAUAUUUCCUCCCAAUAACAUAUACUCUUCUGGAGAGGAACUGGUAUUUGGGAAUACAGAAACCCUAUCCCCCAGACCUCACUGUUUUGAUCUGGAGGAGAGCCAAAGGUUGGCCAGACUCAUCGGCUCUGAUCCUAAAAAUAUCCACACACGUAGAACCCCAAUUUGCAACUAAGACUUGGAGUCUGUAACUGUUUGCAGAGCUGAGGCCAAUCUAUGCAUAAUCCUGGGACAAGGGUAGGGGUUUCGGUGUUGUGUUGUUGCUCACAGAAAAGAUUAAUAUGAAAGAAAACAGGUUUCUUCAGUCUAGUUUUUUUGGAGGUGUAGUAGAUAUCCUCACACAGUGUACACCUAAAAGCCUCAUGCACGCCCAAGCUGAGUGCACACUAGUGUUAUACCUGUAUGCAUAGCACAAGCUAAUUGUAGUUGGGCCAGAAUCAGGUUAUAGUGCAUUGUACAUAGAAACUAAAACCAAACACCCAUGUAGACUGUCUUGUGCUGGAGUGUUCAUUUUUUACACAGUUCCCUUUCUAUGUGCUUGGCUCCUCCAGACUGGUGUUUGUUUGUUGCAUAUUUUGCAUAUUCUGCAACAUGUCAUUGGUCCAAUAGCAGUGUGUUAGUGGUGGAUUUAUAUUGCUCUUUAUUAGUUGUUCUUGAAUGCUUCCCUGAAACCUUAAUGAUUAUCUGUAUUUUUUUAAAAUGAUGUUUUAGGUUUUAUAUCGCCUUGAUAUAAUAUGGUAGAAUAGAAAUACUUUCGGAAGUAAAAUAAAUAAAAUAGAACUUGCCUGCAUUGAUGCUAUCUAGAGGGUUAUUCUUGGCCUAUAGCACAGCAAAAGCAGGACCAAACAACAACCACCUUGUAACAUUUGUAGUGUAAAACACUGCAGGAUUUCAGCAGAAAGUUAUGUGGAAAGAAUGCUGACCGCCCCUAGGCUUUUUGCAAGUGCAAACAACAUUGGCAGCAGGGUGAUGUUUACUGCCCCAAUUCCAUAAUGAACGCAAAUAAUCAUGAAUGAACAAUAAAAAGGGCAUUUGGAGAGGCCCCUACAUUGGUGCUAAAGUGAUAAAUGCAAAGAAAGCUGAGCGUGCACGUGACUGGGGAGAAAUGAAGUGUCACAAAGGUGGCUGCUGCUUUUCUGUAGAUAAAAUCAAAUGAAUGGGACAGGCCUUCAUAUUUUCCUGUCUAGAAAUGCUAAGACAGCAACUGUGUGGCAGUUCUAAAUAAGAUUCUCCAGUACACAUCCAAAUCUCCAUGGGCUACAUGCAUCUGCCAUGAUACUCUCCCACUUGCCCCUUCCUGUCAGCAUUGCAAACAAAUCUGUAGUCUUAAAAGAGUGAAGCCUGGUGCAUUGCAGUUUUGGGGCUAACUGGAAAGCUCCCAUUUCCAAACUUCAAGGCCCCGUGUGCAGUAUGCUACAUGGUCUAUAUGCCACCAUCUAGAUGCUUCUGUUGUGUCUGCUGAGACAGCUGGUGUAAAUCAGGAGAUGCUGGGCAUAACAAAAAAUACCUGGUGCAACUUUGUAUUGCUUUGCCCCCCUUUUUUUUCAAGUGGCUGAUUUUAUAUUUACAUCAACAGAAAUGCUGAGUGCUGCUGUGGUCAGAAUGCCAUCUGUGAGCCACUGGAUGUAUUUCAUCUUUAAUAACAUUGCAAACUAAGUUUAGCCAAUUUUGAAGCUGAUUUGAAUGGAACAUGAAUUUUCCUUGACAUUGGAAAUAUCACCAUGAUUACCUCUCCCUUCUUGUCCUUUUCAAAUAACUCAAGCUUCUGACAAAAACAAAUGUGACCACAGGUCUCAUACAACUUUAACUUAAUGGUGGAUUUUGGCUCAGCACAACUGCGUAAUAUUCCAGAUCUGUGGGUAACAGUGACUAGUCUAAUAAAGAAAGUGGUUAAAUGUAGUCAUCAGCCUGUGAGUUGGGAAGGACUUGGAAACAGUGAGCGAUAAACCAAUCGGGAUGUUUUGCAGACAGCUUUUUCCAAUACAUUUUCCUUUUCUAUAAUAUUUGCCUCGCGUAAUAAGAUAACUCAAACCAUCUGCACUGACUACUUCACUUCCACUGAUUUGCAACUGUUCCAGUUACAUUAUUCCCCAGUGUGCACUUCAUGCUACAAAAAUGGCUGCAGUUCCCCAUUCGAUCCACAUUGUAAUGAGGAGUGAGUCUACACAAGCAUGCAUACCACUUGGCCACUGCAAUGGCAAGUUUGUGCAUAUAUAAAGCCUUGCAAACUAUUAUGGAAUCAGUUUUGAUGAAGUGGGUAUUAAAAUGUUUUAAGGAAACAUAUCAUCCUGAAGCAAAGUUCUUAACCAGAGAUACUAUUUCUGGGUAAGCGGAGUCUGUAACCUGAAGCGUCUAUAACCCGAGGUACCACUGUAUACAUUUUUAGUUUAAAAGGGAGGCAGGAAUAUACAUAAAAGCUCCACCCUUUUCCAACAUCCCAGUGUAUGCCAGUGUAUGCCAGCUGCAUGGCAGAUGUCCUACAUUCAGUGCCAAGGUCUGCACUUGAAUGCCUUCCCCAGAUUAGGAACCCUGGGGAAGUUUAGGGAAGGGCCACAACUCAGUGGAAGAGCAUCCAUAUUGCAUGCAGAAGGUCCCAGAUUCGUUCUCCAGGCAGGGCUGAGAAAGAGUCCCCAUCUAAAGCCCUGCCAGUCAGUGUAGAUAAUACAGUAUUGAACUAGACCAGGG
Molecule: non-coding RNA, 4018 nt
Organism: Podarcis lilfordi (Lilford's wall lizard)
Lineage: Eukaryota; Metazoa; Chordata; Lepidosauria; Squamata; Lacertidae
Source: the annotation of a GenBank genome assembly